Lathyrus oleraceus (garden pea) is the source of this 386-nucleotide long non-coding RNA. RefSeq lists it as uncharacterized. The record is from RefSeq and is a predicted model, not a curated record. Lineage: Eukaryota; Viridiplantae; Streptophyta; Magnoliopsida; Fabales; Fabaceae. The transcript is spliced from 2 exons.
AGAUUCUUCCGAUUAACAUCAAAGGCCUAGCUGGAAGUUUUGCAACACUUGCCAAUUGGUUCUUUUCCUGGUUGGUUACAUUAACAACAAAUUUGCUCUUGGAUUGGAGUUCGGGAGGAACCUUCACAAUAUAUACUGCAGUGUGUGUUUUCACAGCAGGAUUUGUUGCCAUUUGGGUCCCCGAGACAAAGGGAAAAACUCUUGAAGAAAUACAACAGUUUUUCAGAUGAAGUUUCCUUUCGAGUAGCACUUCAGCUAGUGUUCACUCAUGUAUUCACAUUCAUAUUUUUUUUUCUGAAUCAACUCAAUUCAUUUUUGUGCUCUUUGGUCUUGUUAAAUAUGAAAAAUACCAAGGGGCAAGGGAUACUUGAAAGUAUCAAUUGAUA